UACGUAGGGUGCGAGCGUUAAUCGGAAUUACUGGGCGUAAAGUGUGCGCAGGCGGCUUCGCAAGUCGAGUGUGAAAUCCCCGAGCUUAACUUGGGAAUUGCGCUCGAAACUACGGAGCUGGAGUGUGGCAGAGGAAGGUGGAAUUCCACGUGUAGCGGUGAAAUUCGUAGAUAUUCGCAAGAACACCAGUGGCGAAGGCGGCUUACUGGUCCGGUUCUGACGCUGAGGCGCGAAAGCGUGGGGAGCAAACAGG
RNAcentral lists this ribosomal RNA (253 nucleotides) under uncultured bacterium. Its description in RNAcentral is "partial 16S ribosomal RNA". It matches the Rfam family "Bacterial small subunit ribosomal RNA", at positions 524 to 776 of the family's 1533-position model. The record is from RNAcentral.